UUUAUGGAGAGUUUGAUCCUGGCUCAGGAUGAACGCUGGCGGCGUGCCUAAUACAUGCAAGUCGAGCGAACGGACGAGAAGCUUGCUUCUCUGAUGUUAGCGGCGGACGGGUGAGUAACACGUAGAUAACCUACCUAUAAGACUGGGAUAACUUCGGGAAACCGGAGCUAAUACCGGAUAAUAUUUUGAACCGCAUGGUUCAAAAGUGAAAGACGGUCUUGCUGUCACUUAUAGAUGGAUCCGCGCUGCAUUAGCUAGUUGGUAAGGUAACGGCUUACCAAGGCAACGAUGCAUAGCCGACCUGAGAGGGUGAUCGGCCACACUGGAACUGAGACACGGUCCAGACUCCUACGGGAGGCAGCAGUAGGGAAUCUUCCGCAAUGGGCGAAAGCCUGACGGAGCAACGCCGCGUGAGUGAUGAAGGUCUUCGGAUCGUAAAACUCUGUUAUUAGGGAAGAACAUAUGUGUAAGUAACUGUGCACAUCUUGACGGUACCUAAUCAGAAAGCCACGGCUAACUACGUGCCAGCAGCCGCGGUAAUACGUAGGUGGCAAGCGUUAUCCGGAAUUAUUGGGCGUAAAGCGCGCGUAGGCGGUUUUUUAAGUCUGAUGUGAAAGCCCACGGCUCAACCGUGGAGGGUCAUUGGAAACUGGAAAACUUGAGUGCAGAAGAGGAAAGUGGAAUUCCAUGUGUAGCGGUGAAAUGCGCAGAGAUAUGGAGGAACACCAGUGGCGAAGGCGACUUUCUGGUCUGUAACUGACGCUGAUGUGCGAAAGCGUGGGGAUCAAACAGGAUUAGAUACCCUGGUAGUCCACGCCGUAAACGAUGAGUGCUAAGUGUUAGGGGGUUUCCGCCCCUUAGUGCUGCAGCUAACGCAUUAAGCACUCCGCCUGGGGAGUACGACCGCAAGGUUGAAACUCAAAGGAAUUGACGGGGACCCGCACAAGCGGUGGAGCAUGUGGUUUAAUUCGAAGCAACGCGAAGAACCUUACCAAAUCUUGACAUCCUUUGACAACUCUAGAGAUAGAGCCUUCCCCUUCGGGGGACAAAGUGACAGGUGGUGCAUGGUUGUCGUCAGCUCGUGUCGUGAGAUGUUGGGUUAAGUCCCGCAACGAGCGCAACCCUUAAGCUUAGUUGCCAUCAUUAAGUUGGGCACUCUAAGUUGACUGCCGGUGACAAACCGGAGGAAGGUGGGGAUGACGUCAAAUCAUCAUGCCCCUUAUGAUUUGGGCUACACACGUGCUACAAUGGACAAUACAAAGGGCAGCGAAACCGCGAGGUCAAGCAAAUCCCAUAAAGUUGUUCUCAGUUCGGAUUGUAGUCUGCAACUCGACUACAUGAAGCUGGAAUCGCUAGUAAUCGUAGAUCAGCAUGCUACGGUGAAUACGUUCCCGGGUCUUGUACACACCGCCCGUCACACCACGAGAGUUUGUAACACCCGAAGCCGGUGGAGUAACCUUUUAGGAGCUAGCCGUCGAAGGUGGGACAAAUGAUUGGGGUGAAGUCGUAACAAGGUAGCCGUAUCGGAAGGUGCGGCUGGAUCACCUCCUUUCU
Molecule: ribosomal RNA, 1554 nt
Filed under: Staphylococcus aureus
Lineage: Bacteria; Bacillati; Bacillota; Bacilli; Caryophanales; Staphylococcaceae
Description: 16S ribosomal RNA
Rfam family: Bacterial small subunit ribosomal RNA
Source: RNAcentral